RNAcentral lists this long non-coding RNA (619 nucleotides) under Phoenix dactylifera (date palm). Its description in RNAcentral is "long non-coding RNA (PDAC_LNC009171)". The record is from RNAcentral. Lineage: Eukaryota; Viridiplantae; Streptophyta; Magnoliopsida; Arecales; Arecaceae.
AGGGGUGUUGUGUUAGAGAAUGGAACUUACCUGCUCAGUUAGGAGGACCUUUUUAGGCACAUGUGUCCUAGAUUUCCGCUUUUGGGUGCAAAGGUCUUUGAGAAAUUUGGCAUAGGAGGGAACUUGUUUGAUGGCAUCAAGGAGUGGAAGGUUGAUUUUAACUUGUUUGAAGACCUCCAUCAUCUCUUCUAAUGAAGUUCCCUUCUUGCCAAAGGGAGAGGGUGCAUUAAGUGCUUCAGGGAAUGAAGCCUUUGGAAUGUGGGUUGUGGCAGAUGGUGGACUAGCUGAAGAAGGUUUUGGGUUUUCAUGUGAUACAUUCCUCUCCUCUUCUUCACCUUCCUUAUUGUUACCCUCCCUAACCUUAUUAUCUAUUAUACGUCCACUCCUUAGGGUAGUCAAAGCAUUGGCUUGCUCAUGAUUUAGUCGAGUUUCUUGAGCCACGUAUUGUCCCUUAGAUUACUCAUUGGUUGACUUGGAAGCUUACCUUCCUCUCGCUUGUUUAAUGCAUUGGCUAGUUGACCCAUUUGGGAUUCUAGCUUAGCAAUUGAUCGCGUGUGAGAGUGCAAUAGUUGUGUGUUUGCCUCCAAACCUUGAAGGGCAGUCAACACUUUCUCCUCAA